This 447-nucleotide ribosomal RNA is filed under the name Triticum aestivum (bread wheat). RNAcentral describes it as "partial small subunit ribosomal RNA". The record is from RNAcentral. Lineage: Eukaryota; Viridiplantae; Streptophyta; Magnoliopsida; Poales; Poaceae.
AUGCCAAAAGAUGCAAAAUUGAUAAUGACAAGUGCAACAUACUUGUGGCACUGCCGUUUAGGUCAUAUUGGUGUAAAGCGCAUGAAGAAACGCCAUGCAGAUGGACUUUUGGAAUCACUUGAUUAUGAAUCAUUUGGUACUUGUGAACCAUGCCUCAUGGGCAAGAUGACUAAAACUCCGUUCUCCGGAACAAUGGAGCGAGCUGAUGACUUAUUGGAAAUAAUACAUACCGAUGUAUGCGGUCCAAUGAGUGUUAAAGCACGCGGUGGGUAUCAUUAUUUUCUGACCUUCAUAGAUGAUUUGAGUGGGUAUGGGUAUAUCUACUUGAUGAAACACAACUCCGAAACAUUUGAAAAGUUCAAAGAAUUUCAGAGUGAAGUGGAGAAUCAUCAUAACAAGAAAAUAAAGUUUCUACGAUCUGAUCGCGGAGACGAAUAUUUGAGUUAA